GAACCUGCGGAAGGAUCAU
RNAcentral lists this ribosomal RNA (19 nucleotides) under Lodderomyces parapsilosis. RNAcentral describes it as "Candida parapsilosis partial 18S ribosomal RNA". The record is from RNAcentral. Lineage: Eukaryota; Fungi; Ascomycota; Pichiomycetes; Serinales; Debaryomycetaceae. RNAcentral also lists the same sequence under 5 other names.